UAAGACUCCAUCUUAAAAAAAAUAAUCGAAUGAUACAGAGAAGAUUAGCAUGGUCCCUGCACAGGGAUGACAUGCACAUUUUUGAAAAAAUUAGAAGAGAA
Gorilla gorilla gorilla (western lowland gorilla) is the source of this 101-nucleotide small nuclear RNA. The record is from Ensembl. Lineage: Eukaryota; Metazoa; Chordata; Mammalia; Primates; Hominidae.